GGUUAAGCUAGUAAGAGCGCACGGAGGAUGCCUAGGCACCAGGAGCCGAAGAAGGACGUGGCGAACAACGAUACCGCCCCGGGGAGCCGUAAGCAGGCAUUGAUCCGAGGAUUUCCGAAUGGGGAAACCCAGCUGUCGUAAUGGACAGUUACUCUCAACUGAAUACAUAGGUUGGGUAGAGGCAUACCAGGGGAACUGAAACAUCUAAGUACCCUGAGGAAGAGAAAACAAUAGUGAUUCCGUCAGUAGCGGCGAGCGAACGCGGAUUAGCCCAAACCAAGGAGCUUGCUCCUUGGGGUUGUAGGACGUCUCACAUGGAGUUACAAAGGUGUUUGGUAGGCGAAGAGGUCUGGAAAGGCCCGCCAGAGCAGGUAAAAGCCCUGUAACCGAAAGCAAGCACCCUCCGAGACGGAUCCUGAGUACGGCGGGACACGUGAAACCCCGUCGGAAUCCGGCAGGACCAUCUGCCAAGGCUAAAUACUCCCUGGUGACCGAUAGUGAAGCAGUACCGUGAGGGAAAGGUGAAAAGCACCGCGGAAGCGGAGUGAAAAAGAACCUGAAACCGUGCGCUUACAAAAAGUCAGAGCCCGUUAAAUGGGUGAUGGCGUGCCUUUUGUAGAAUGAACCGGCGAGUUACGAUCACGUGCAAGGUUAAGUCGGGAAGACGGAGCCGUAGCGAAAGCGAGUCUGAAUAGGGCGAAUAAGUACGUGGUCGUAGACCCGAAACCGUGUGAUCUACCCCUGUCCAGGGUGAAGGUGCGGUAACACGCACUGGAGGCCCGAACCCACGCAUGUUGAAAAAUGCGGGGAUGAGGUGGGGGUAGCGGAGAAAUUCCAAUCGAACUCGGAGAUAGCUGGUUCUCCCCGAAAUAGCUUUAGGGCUAGCCUCGAGGAAUGAGCGUCGUGGAGGUAGAGCACUGAUUGGGUGCGGGGCCCGCCAAGGGUUACCAAGUCCAGUCAAACUCCGAAUGCCAUAGACGUGCUACUCGGGAGUCAGACAGUGAGUGCUAAGAUCCAUUGUCAAGAGGGAAACAGCCCAGAUCAUCAGCUAAGGUCCCCAAGUGUGUGUUAAGUGGGAAAGGAUGUGGAGUUGCAAAGACAACCAGGAUGUUGGCUUAGAAGCAGCCACCAUUUAAAGAGUGCGUAAUAGCUCACUGGUCGAGUGACUCUGCGCCGAAAAUGUAACGGGGCUAAACACACCACCGAAGCUAUGACAUGUACCAUUAGGUACUUGGGUAGGGGAGCGUUGAAUACGGAUUGAAGUUGGACCGUGAGGACUGGUGGACUGUAUUCAAGUGAGAAUGCCGGUAUGAGUAACGAAAAGACAAGUGAGAAUCUUGUCCGCCGAAAGCCUAAGGGUUCCUGAGGAAGGCUCGUCCUCUCAGGGUAAGUCGGGACCUAACGCGAGGCCGAAAGGCGUAGUGGAUGGACAACAGGUUGAAAUUCCUGUACCACCGAAGAUUGUUUGAGCAAUGGGGUGACACAGAAGGGCAGUGACGCGGACUGAUGGAAUAGUCCGUCCAAGCAGUGAGGCUAGUGUGUAGGCAAAUCCGCACACUAUUAGGCUGGGCUGUGAUGGGGAGCGAAAAUUGCAGUAGCGAAGGUCAUGUACUCCGGCUGUCAAGAAAAGCCUCUAGUGAGAUCUAGGUGCCCGUACCGCAAACCGACACAGGUAGGCGAGCAGAGCAUGCUAAGGCGCGCGGAAGAACUCUCGUUAAGGAACUCGGCAAAAUGACCUCGUAACUUCGGGAGAAGAGGUGCCUCGGUAGGGUGAAUAGCCCGAGGGGGCCGCAGUGAAAAGGCCCAAGCGACUGUUUAGCAAAAACACAGGUCUGUGCGAAGCCGUAAGGCGAAGUAUACGGGCUGACGCCUGCCCGGUGCUGGAAGGUUAAGGGGAGCGGUUAGG
RNAcentral lists this ribosomal RNA (1906 nucleotides) under Paenibacillus endophyticus. RNAcentral's name for it is "Bacterial large subunit ribosomal RNA". It matches the Rfam family "Bacterial large subunit ribosomal RNA", at positions 1 to 1894 of the family's 2925-position model. Lineage: Bacteria; Bacillati; Bacillota; Bacilli; Caryophanales; Paenibacillaceae. The record is from Rfam by way of RNAcentral.